Molecule: small nuclear RNA, 108 nt
Filed under: Betta splendens (Siamese fighting fish)
Lineage: Eukaryota; Metazoa; Chordata; Actinopteri; Anabantiformes; Osphronemidae
Description: U5 spliceosomal RNA (ENSBSLG00000007232.1)
Rfam family: U5 spliceosomal RNA
About the family: U5 RNA is a component of both types of known spliceosome. The precise function of this molecule is unknown, though it is known that the 5' loop is required for splice site selection and p220 binding, and that both the 3' stem-loop and the Sm site are important for Sm protein binding and cap methylation.
Source: RNAcentral
ACUCUUGUUUCUCUCAGAUCGUACAAAUCUUUCGCCUUUUACUAAAGAUUUCCGUGGAGAGGAACAACAAGAGUAUAUCCCAUUUUUGUUGCCCUGCUUUAGUGGGGC